GAUGAACGCUGGCGGCGUGCCUAACACAUGCAAGUCGAACGGAGUCGUUUUGGAUAUCUCUUCGGAGAUGGAAUUCUCCACUUAGUGGCGGACGGUUGAGUACCGCGUGAGCAAUCUGCAUUUAAGCGGAGACUAACCGUCGGACACGGCUGCAAAUACUACAUACCGCAUUACCUUCCCUCGUUUUUUUAGCCACAGUAUCACUCAGCUUUUCGCUGAGCUCGCGUCUGAUUAGCUCUUUGCCGGGGUAACGACCCACCAAGGCGAUGAUAAGUAGACGGAAGGAGAGGAUGAACGGCCACAUAGCAACUGAGACACGGCCGAGACUACUAUGAGAGGCAGCAGUGGCGAAUAUUGCGAAAUGGGGGAAACCGUGACGCAGCAACGCCGCGUGAUUGAAGAAGGCCGUCGGGUUGUAAAGAUCUUUAAUAAGACACGAAACAAAUGACGGUACCUGAAGAAUAAGCACCGGCUAACUACGUG
RNAcentral lists this ribosomal RNA (483 nucleotides) under uncultured bacterium. Its description in RNAcentral is "partial 16S ribosomal RNA". It matches the Rfam family "Bacterial small subunit ribosomal RNA", at positions 28 to 507 of the family's 1533-position model. The record is from RNAcentral.